AUGGAGCUUUGUCUGGGCCCAGCAGCCUCGGCCACAGCAGCCUCUUCCUGCCUGGGGCCGGGCUGGGGGCACGGUGGGGCCAUGCCACGGCAGUCACACGCUGAGGGACCCCCGAGGUCAGGGAUGGAACAGCAGGGACCCCUUGAUUCCUUGCAAGCUGCAUUGGAGGCUGGUGAGGCAGCAGCAUCCCUGCCCAGCCCAGGUCAGGCACAGCAUCCCUGCCCAGCCCGGGUCAGGCACAGCAUCCCUGCCCAGCCCAGGUCAGGCACAGUAUCCCUGCCCAGCCCAGAAGGCUGGGAAAAGCCCUGGGAUGCACUUGGCACAGCUCUGCCAGCGACACCCUGGCAGGAGCCCAGUCUGUGGGCAGCCUCCUGGCUCCAGUGGUUCCUUCUCCCUUUUCCCGAGAUGUCCUCCUGGGGCAGACACUGCCAGUGUCCUUCCCUCAGCUGCUGCCAAAACUGUGCUUAUGGUCUGCCAGGGCUGGGAUUUCCUGGAAUGCUUAGGCUGGAGCUGGGACAGUGCUCCUGGAGGGGCCCUCUCUGUGCUGAGGAAUCACAGAAUCAUGGAACCACUUGGUUUGGGUUGGAAUGCGCAUCUUGUUCCAACCCCUUGCCACGGGCAGGGACACUUUCCACUAUCCCAGGUUGCUCCAAGCUCCAUCCAACCUGGCCUUGGACACUUCCAGGGAUGGAGCAGCCACGGCUCUCUGGUCAACCUGUGCCAGGGCCCCACCACCCUGCCAGGGAAGAAUUUCUUUUCAAUAUGCCAUCUGAACUUAGUUUCAAGCCAGUCCUCCUUGUCCUGUCACUCCACGCCCUCAUCCAAAGUCCCUCUCCAGCUCUCUUGGAGCCCUGCAGGAGAGCCAGGUUGAUCUGCAGGGAAGAGAUGAGGACCAGGGGCUGGUCCAGUGUCAGCUCAGAAGGCAGAGGCAGGGGAGAGUGGGGAGAGCCCAGAGCUGCAGAGCCUGCGAGUGCUGACAGAAGGAUGUGCUGUGUGCCAGGAGCUGUGGCUGAGGCUGGGGGGUCUGAGAAGGAGCAGGAUGGAAAAAACUCCCAUUCCUUUCACCCUGCAACACACACUGCUGCCAGGGCCCUGCAGCAGCACACCGGGCUGGGGAAUGUGCUGGUGGGAAGCGGCAAGAGCAGGCAGGAGGCAAAAAAAUGUCCCAGGAUGGAAAAGAAGGCACAUUUUAGUACUGCCAGGGAUGAAGCUGCUCAGAGGAAGCACAUACACACCUGA
RNAcentral lists this long non-coding RNA (1239 nucleotides) under Cyanistes caeruleus (blue tit). RNAcentral describes it as "lncRNA (ENSCCEG00000016012.1)". The record is from RNAcentral. Lineage: Eukaryota; Metazoa; Chordata; Aves; Passeriformes; Paridae.